This 652-nucleotide ribosomal RNA is filed under the name Driessenia axantha. Its description in RNAcentral is "eukaryotic LSU rRNA". The record is from RNAcentral. Lineage: Eukaryota; Viridiplantae; Streptophyta; Magnoliopsida; Myrtales; Melastomataceae.
CAUUGUCGAAAUCGAACGUAAGAACGACCCGCGAACAGUCAUUGCGUACCGUAGAGGGCCAUCGGGCGCGCCACGCUCGCGCGACUCCCGUCGCGUCGGCGCGGACGUGCUCGAGGCCCCCGUCGUACCGACGGAACAACAUUGUCAGCACGGAUCGUGCCAAGGAGCUGCAUGGAGAGAAUCGUCGUUCCGCGCCUUCGGUUUCCCUCGUCGCGGGACGGGAGGCGCGGGGCGCGCGCGAUCUCUGCUAAAGUCUAAAUGACUCUCGGCAACGGAUAUCUCGGCUCUUGCAUCGAUGAAGAACGUAGCGAAAUGCGAUACUUGGUGUGAAUUGCAGAAUCCCGCGAACCAUCAAUUCUUUGAACGCAAGUUGCGCCCGAAGCCAUUCGGCCGAGGGCACGCCUGCCUGGGUGUCGUGAUUCUCCUUGCCCCAGGGCACCCGUGUUCGUGCAUGUGCAGUCGCGGGGGAACGCUCGGGCGCAGAACUUGGUCUCCCGCGGGAUCGGCACGCGCGCGUCGUGUCGAGGCGCGGUUGUCCGAAAAUCGAGCACGSAGGCGACGGGCACCACGUCGUUCGGUGGAUCGAACGAGAUUGGCUGCGACGUGGUCUCGGCACGCGUCUCGCUCCGGGCAACGACGGUCCCCAGUGCGA